ACAGAUUUUUUUGAUUAUGUAGAUUUUUUUUUUCCCCUAUUGCAGUUUCAUAUGCAAAGCAUGCAUCAGCCACAUCCAUGCUAUCUCCUAAAGCAGUCAUUCUGAAACCCAAUCUGGGGACAGUGCAGACUAAAUAAAAUUUCAUUUUGAUUUGGCCUCCCGCUGAGAAUGGGACUGCUUUGUUUCAGCCGACAGAACCAGCAAGCCAGAAAGGUGUUGAAUACACAAAUACUGAAUUAACGGAUAAUUAUGGUCAUUGUGGUGGAGGAAAUAUUUUUAUCCAGGCCUCAGGAAAUGGUGGUCUGGCUAGCAAAUGCAGUGGUGUGAAUGGUUACAUGAAGAGUAUCUACUUGAGGCAAAGCAUGCCAUCGCUUACCUCUGCCCCAAUACUCCUGAACUACAAGACCUAAUCAAUGUCAGUGGCCACCUGGAAAUUCCCAGUGAGGAAGGACUAUGGCAGCUACUACCCUGAAAACAAACCUUCAUUCUGGAGUGAGGUGAGUCAGUAAUGUGUUACCACAGAACUUUAGAGGUGGAAGUACUUCAGUAUUCAAAGACACAUCCAGCACCGGGCCUUUUAACUGCCGUUGUCAUUGCUCUGGCUCUUCCACCCAAGUAAGGAUGAUAUAUGUCUUGUUUUCAGCUCACAUGACAAAGAUAUGACACUUUUGUCACUGAUUCUUAAGAAAAACUGUAUGAGUCAAAUUACAAUCGCAACAAAAGUUAGAACAAAGCCCUCUUUCUUGUUGAAACAGUUUGCUGUUUACUGGCUUUUUGCUUAGCUGGUGGUACAGUACAUAGCCUGCAAAUAGAUGAAAUACAUUUUAGAUGCAUGAAAGAAAAAAUACUAUUUAAAACCAUAAGAUUCCUUUAGGAAAAUAAUUAGAGGCAGCUAUCAUCAUUAACUCUGGAAUACAUAACUCUUCCCAUUCUUAAUAAAAAGUGAUCCUUAAUAAAAAGUGAAUGCAGUUGCAUGCCACAGUAUUAAAGAAUAUAUGAGUUAAAUAUCUUCCUGCUUCAAAGAUGCGUGGCCUAAAACCUGAAAAAUUACAGUAUACUCAAAUGAUCAUAAAGGACUGACUUCACUGACCAUUUCUUUGUGUUUGGGGGAUAGAUUUCUGCAUGGCAUAAUAUUUCCACUUGCAUUGGUUUCCUGGCAUGAAAAUGUUUAUUGCACUCAUUAGCUAAGAGGAUGUCGGCACUGGUCCAAUGAACACAGAUCUGCCUUCUGAUUUCAGCCAUUAAAUUGCAAUGGGAUUCACAGGCUUAACAUUGUGGGUGUGAGAAUAAUAAAAUGGAGCUCCAUCUUUAGCCCAGUUACCAUGGAUGCAGUUAAAGGUCAUAGUGGCAGCUGCUAACUAGUUGCCUUUUUAGCUGUAUUUCCCCUCCUGCUAUGUGUUUUUGUGUACCUUAGUUUCUGCAGGUCUGCCUUAGAGCAAUUCCACUUCCUUAACUUGGCAUAUGGGUGUCUUCCUCAACAUGAUGGGUGCAUUGCCAUAAACACGGUUGCUGCCGGCAUCCCUUUAUUGAUUUUUUUUUUGUGUUUUAAUGGAAAAUGACUGUAAAGACCUUAACAAAAAAAUGGAAAUGCAGCCUGCUCAGCAUCCCAAAUUAUUUCUAUUUUCUGCACUCUGCUUCACGUUCCUAACUUGGGGGAGAAAAAAGAAAAA
Pezoporus flaviventris is the source of this 1670-nucleotide long non-coding RNA. RefSeq lists it as uncharacterized. The record is from RefSeq and is a predicted model, not a curated record. NCBI's taxonomy places the organism in Eukaryota, Metazoa, Chordata, Aves, Psittaciformes, Psittacidae. The transcript is spliced from 4 exons.